UACGUAGGGCGCAAGCGUUAUCCGGAAUUAUUGGGCGUAAAGAGCUCGUAGGCGGCUUGUCGCGUCUGCCGUGAAAGUCCGGGGCUCAACUCCGGAUCUGCGGUGGGUACGGGCAGACUAGAGUGAUGUAGGGGAGACUGGAAUUCCUGGUGUAGCGGUGAAAUGCGCAGAUAUCAGGAGGAACACCGAUGGCGAAGGCAGGUCUCUGGGCAGUAACUGACGCUGAGGAGCGAAAGCAUGGGGAGCGAACAGG
RNAcentral lists this ribosomal RNA (253 nucleotides) under uncultured bacterium. Its description in RNAcentral is "partial 16S ribosomal RNA". It matches the Rfam family "Bacterial small subunit ribosomal RNA", at positions 524 to 776 of the family's 1533-position model. The record is from RNAcentral.